AGUGAACGCUGGCGGUAGGCCUAACACAUGCAAGUCGAACGGCAGCACAGUAAUAGCUUGCUCUUACGGGUGGCGAGUGGCGGACGGGGGAGGAAUACAUCGGAAUCUACGUUGUCUUGGGGGAUAACGUAGGGAAACUUACGCUAAUACCGCAUACGACCUACGGGUGAAAGCAUGGGAUCUUCGGACCUUGCGCGAGUGAAUGAGCCGAUGUCGGAUUAGCUAGUUGGCGGGGUAAAGGCCCACCAAGGCGACGAUCCGUAGCUGGUCUGAGAGGAUGAUCAGCCACACUGGAACUGAGACACGGUCCAGACUCCUACGGGAGGCAGCAGUGGGGAAUAUUGGACAAUGGGCGCAAGCCUGAUCCAGCCAUACCGCGUGGGUGAAGAAGGCCUUCGGGUUGUAAAGCCCUUUUGUUGGGAAAGAAAAGCAGUAGGUUAAUACCCCGCUGUUCUGACGGUACCCAAAGAAUAAGCACCGGCUAACUUCGUG
This 492-nucleotide ribosomal RNA is filed under the name uncultured bacterium. Its description in RNAcentral is "partial 16S ribosomal RNA". It matches the Rfam family "Bacterial small subunit ribosomal RNA", at positions 29 to 507 of the family's 1533-position model. The record is from RNAcentral.